This 524-nucleotide ribosomal RNA is filed under the name uncultured bacterium. RNAcentral describes it as "partial 16S ribosomal RNA". It matches the Rfam family "Bacterial small subunit ribosomal RNA", at positions 28 to 523 of the family's 1533-position model. The record is from RNAcentral.
GACGAACGCUGGCGGCGUGCCUAAUACAUGCAAGUCGAGCGCAGGAAGCCGUCUGAACCCUUCGGGGGGACGACGGUGGAAUGAGCGGCGGACGGGUGAGUAACACGUAAAGAACCUGCCCAUAGGUCUGGGAUAACCACGAGAAAUCGGGGCUAAUACCGGAUGUGUCAGCGGACCGCAUGGUCCGCUGAUGAAAGGCGCUCCGGCGUCGCCCGUGGAUGGCUUUGCGGUGCAUUAGCUAGUUGGUGGGGUAACGGCCCACCAAGGCGACGAUGCAUAGCCGACCUGAGAGGGUGAUCGGCCACACUGGGACUGAGACACGGCCCAGACUCCUACGGGAGGCAGCAGUAGGGAAUCUUCCACAAUGGACGAAAGUCUGAUGGAGCAACGCCGCGUGAACGAUGAAGGCUUUCGGGUCGUAAAGUUCUGUUGUAAGGGAAGAACAAGUGCCGCAGGCAAUGGCGGCACCUUGACGGUACCUUGCGAGAAAGCCACGGCUAACUACGUGCCAGCAGCCGCAGUAA